Molecule: non-coding RNA, 169 nt
Filed under: uncultured Ruminococcus sp.
Lineage: Bacteria; Bacillati; Bacillota; Clostridia; Eubacteriales; Oscillospiraceae
Description: Lysine riboswitch
Rfam family: Lysine riboswitch aptamer
About the family: Riboswitches are metabolite binding domains within certain messenger RNAs that serve as precision sensors for their corresponding targets. Allosteric rearrangement of mRNA structure is mediated by ligand binding, and this results in modulation of gene expression.
Source: RNAcentral
AAGGUAGAGGUGCGGCUGCGAUCAGUACCUGUGCACGGGAAUGCCUGUUCCAAUGGUGUACAGCGAAAGGCAAGGCUGCCGAAGAACGGCUUUUUAGGCAGAUCUCGUUCUGGCUGUAUAUUCAACAGGUAUGCAGUUGUCAUCAUUGCGUAUGGUGGAGAGCUAUCGG